Molecule: ribosomal RNA, 1174 nt
Filed under: Escherichia coli
Lineage: Bacteria; Pseudomonadati; Pseudomonadota; Gammaproteobacteria; Enterobacterales; Enterobacteriaceae
Description: partial 23S ribosomal RNA
Rfam family: Bacterial large subunit ribosomal RNA
Source: RNAcentral
GGGUUGUGAGGUUAAGCGACUAAGCGUACACGGUGGAUGCCCUGGCAGUCAGAGGCGAUGAAGGACGUGCUAAUCUGCGAUAAGCGUCGGUAAGGUGAUAUGAACCGUUAUAACCGGCGAUUUCCGAAUGGGGAAACCCAGUGUGAUUCGUCACACUAUCAUUAACUGAAUCCAUAGGUUAAUGAGGCGAACCGGGGGAACUGAAACAUCUAAGUACCCCGAGGAAAAGAAAUCAACCGAGAUUCCCCCAGUAGCGGCGAGCGAACGGGGAGCAGCCCAGAGUCUGAAUCAGUGUGUGUGUUAGUGGAAGCGUCUGGAAAGGCGCGCGAUACAGGGUGACAGCCCCGUACACAAAAAUGCACAUGCUGUGAGCUCGAUGAGUAGGGCGGGACACGUGGUAUCCUGUCUGAAUAUGGGGGGACCAUCCUCCAAGGCUAAAUACUCCUGACUGACCGAUAGUGAACCAGUACCGUGAGGGAAAGGCGAAAAGAACCCCGGCGAGGGGAGUGAAAAAGAACCUGAAACCGUGUACGUACAAGCAGUGGGAGCACGCUUAGGCGUGUGACCGCGUACCUUUUGUAUAAUGGGUCAGCGACUUAUAUUCUGUAGCAAGGUUAACCGAAUAGGGGAGCCGAAGGGAAACCGAGUCUUAACUGGGCGUUAAGUUGCAGGGUAUAGACCCGAAACCCGGUGAUCUAGCCAUGGGCAGGUUGAAGGUUGGGUAACACUAACUGGAGGACCGAACCGACUAAUGUUGAAAAAUUAGCGGAUGACUUGUGGCUGGGGGUGAAAGGCCAAUCAAACCGGGAGAUAGCUGGUUCUCCCCGAAAGCUAUUUAGGUAGCGCCUCGUGAACUCAUCUCCGGGGGUAGAGCACUGUUUCGGCAAGGGGGUCAUCCCGACUUACCAACCCGAUGCAAACUGCGAAUACCGGAGAAUGUUAUCACGGGAGACACACGGCGGGUGCUAACGUCCGUCGUGAAGAGGGAAACAACCCAGACCGCCAGCUAAGGUCCCAAAGUCAUGGUUAAGUGGGAAACGAUGUGGGAAGGCCCAGACAGCCAGGAUGUUGGCUUAGAAGCAGCCAUCAUUUAAAGAAAGCGUAAUAGCUCACUGGUCGAGUCGGCCUGCGCGGAAGAUGUAACGGGGCUAAACCAUGCACCGAAGCUGCGGCA